RNAcentral lists this transfer RNA (75 nucleotides) under Sneathiella chinensis. RNAcentral's name for it is "tRNA-Glu". It matches the Rfam family "tRNA". From Rfam's summary of the family: Transfer RNA (tRNA) molecules are approximately 80 nucleotides in length. Their secondary structure includes four short double-helical elements and three loops (D, anti-codon, and T loops). RNAcentral also lists the same sequence under 3 other names. Lineage: Bacteria; Pseudomonadati; Pseudomonadota; Alphaproteobacteria; Sneathiellales; Sneathiellaceae. The record is from RNAcentral.
GUCCCCUUCGUCUAGUGGUUAGGACGCCAGAUUUUCAUUCUGGAAACAGGGGUUCGACUCCCCUAGGGGAUGCCA